CUUAGUGAAUCGGUCUGUUGACCCACCAUAGUCCUGGCCUCUGCAAAGCCAUAGAAGUCUCCACUAAACCAGAUGUUUCCUGUUAGAGAGGCUGUGUCACCUCAGGGGGUGUCUUGGAGUGUGCCACCUGAUACUUACCUGAAUCUGUCCUUCGUGGGAUCCACCAUCAUCGAUUUUCAGUAUCUACCAGGAGCCCACGUCAGUGCUUUAUUCUCGUACAUGCACAUGUGUACAAUGCUGAAGUCUAUGGAGUACACUGCAUGAGUCGCUACUCGCAAGCCAAUGCCUCAUUCUCAGAGCUGUUGCUAGUAAUGGCUGUGGGGAGUGAUGAAACCUGAAGAUAGUAGGUCUGCCUUUUUUAAAAUUUUGUGGCGUUGGCAACGUAAGACAGAUUACUUGCUACUUUGUCUUACGACAUGUUUUCUUGUUUUGAAAUUUUAAUAACAUUCCAAUUCAGUCUUUAUGUGAUUUUAUCUUUAUGAAAUGCCCAAAAGUAUCAUAGGUAUAUAGUCUCAACAAAGCAUCUCCCACCCACAGUGUAUGGAGGAUAACAUAGUUACAUAGUUACAUAGCUGAAAAGAGACUUGCGUCCAUCAAAUUCAGC
Pelobates cultripes (western spadefoot toad) is the source of this 604-nucleotide non-coding RNA. The record is from the annotation of a GenBank genome assembly. NCBI's taxonomy places the organism in Eukaryota, Metazoa, Chordata, Amphibia, Anura, Pelobatidae.